Molecule: transfer RNA, 97 nt
Filed under: Kitasatospora aureofaciens
Lineage: Bacteria; Bacillati; Actinomycetota; Actinomycetes; Kitasatosporales; Streptomycetaceae
Description: tRNA-Gly
Source: RNAcentral
ACGCCAGGUGCCCGGCGGUGCCUGCGCGCCCGUUCUCUUCCGCAGGUCGCGGGCGCUUGGCCCGUCGGGGCGCCCACGUUCUAUUGUGGCGGGCGCG